GACGAACGCUGGCGGCGUGCUUAACACAUGCAAGUCGAACGGAAAGGCCCUGCUUUUGUUUGGUGCUCGUUAGCCGAACGGGUGAGUGACACGCGAGUAACCUGCCCUUGACUUUGUGAUAACUCCAGGAAACACGGGCUAAUACCGGAUAGGAGCUCCUGCUGCACGGUGUGGGUUGGAGAGUUUCGGCGGUUGGGGAUGGACUGGCGGGUUAUCAGCUUGUUGGGGGAGUAGUGGCUUACCAAGUCUUCGAAGGGUAGCCGGCAUGAGAGGGUGAACGGCGACAUGGGUCCUGAGAGAGGGCCCAGUAGGCUACGGGAGGCAGUAGGGGAAAACAUGGCGGAGUGGGCCGGCGUGAGAUAUGAAGACGCUGCGUGCGGGAUGACGGCUUACGGGUUGAGAACCGCUGUCGACUGAGACGAAGAGUGAGUGACGGUAAUGGGUAAAGAAGCACCGGCUAACUACGUG
This 468-nucleotide ribosomal RNA is filed under the name uncultured bacterium. Its description in RNAcentral is "partial 16S ribosomal RNA". It matches the Rfam family "Bacterial small subunit ribosomal RNA", at positions 28 to 507 of the family's 1533-position model. The record is from RNAcentral.